RNAcentral lists this non-coding RNA (31 nucleotides) under Rattus norvegicus (Norway rat). Lineage: Eukaryota; Metazoa; Chordata; Mammalia; Rodentia; Muridae. The record is from RNAcentral.
UAGUAACCAAUUAUUUAACAGGAACCUAAGU